GACGAACGCUGCGGCGUGCUUAACACAUGCAAGUCGAACGGAAAGGCCCUGCUUUUGUGGGGUGCUCGAGUGGCGAACGGGUGAGUAACACGUUAGUAACCUGCCCUUGACUUUGGGAUAACUUCAUGAAACUGGGGCUAAUACCGGAUAGGAGCUCCUGCUGCAUGGUGGGGGUUGGAAAGUUUCGGCGGUUGGGGAUGGACUCGCGGCUUAUCAGCUUGUUGGUGGGGUAGUGGCUUACCAAGGCUUUGACGGGUAGCCGGCCUGAGAGGGUGACCGGCCACAUUGGGACUGAGAUACGGCCCAGACUCCUACGGGAGGCAGCAGUGGGGAAUAUUGCACAAUGGGCGGAAGCCUGAUGCAGCAACGCCGCGUGCGGGAUGACGGCCUUCGGGUUGUAAACCGCUUUCGCCUGUGACGAAGCGUGAGUGACGGUAAUGGGUAAAGAAGCACCGGCUAACUACGUG
RNAcentral lists this ribosomal RNA (467 nucleotides) under uncultured bacterium. RNAcentral's name for it is "partial 16S ribosomal RNA". It matches the Rfam family "Bacterial small subunit ribosomal RNA", at positions 28 to 507 of the family's 1533-position model. The record is from RNAcentral.